This 115-nucleotide transfer RNA is filed under the name Pseudomonas cichorii. Its description in RNAcentral is "tRNA-OTHER". Lineage: Bacteria; Pseudomonadati; Pseudomonadota; Gammaproteobacteria; Pseudomonadales; Pseudomonadaceae. The record is from RNAcentral.
GGGCCUCCAGCUAUGCCAACCUACGUUCACCUACGAACGAUUUCUCUGGGCAUAGCAAGUCGCACAGCAACUCAUAAUCCUUUGGUCCACGGUUCGAGUCCGUGUGGGCCCACCA